GUUAAUCUUUUUCUAUCUGUGUGACACAUUUAAGAUAUGAUUAAAAAUUUUAAGCAUUUCAGUACCAAAAUCUAUGAGAAAAUCAGCAAGAAAUCGUUUGUUAGGUAUUGUUAUUCGAGUCUGUAAGCUGUUCGAAAUUGAUCUUUCAGUUCUGUAGUUUCGUCGAUUAGUAGUAUUAAGUUCUCACGAUUUUCAGCGACCUAAUUUUACAUGGAUGAUGAUAAAUGUUUGAUAUGCACUACAUGUUAUCGACGAAUAUUAACAAAAGUUCUGCUUGAUUUUCACAAUUUCAUGUAUGGUGGAAAUUGUAAGAAGAUAAAAUUGUGUUUGUGUAUUGCUCACCUUCUAAUUUCAGUUCAUUUCUCCUACUCUCCUAGUUCUAAUCUCUGAGUGAUUCAAAUUUGAGGUUUUAGGGUUUAAAGACACCGAACACUGAACUUUCACAAUUCUGUGAGAUUAUGCUGUUUAUGAGCUCAAUGUUUUACUUUUCUGUAGAAUUGUUGUUAUUACUAGUAAAUGUUGUAUGUUAGAAAGUGUAUCUCAUGUACCCAUGACUACUGGGAUUGGUAAUAAAUAGCGUAUUAAGUUCCUACUGAAUUAAACCUCGGAGCUCAGUUUAUAUAAGUCAGGUCUGACUCAGUGGAGCAGUAGAUCAGUAUAUACAUUUUCAAGUUCGAGUCUGUCAAGAAAGUUGUUCAAGUCUUAAGAGAGUUUGAUGUGAAACAUGCAAUAGUGAAUUUGGUUGUACUUUCCAGAAAUAACAUGGUCAGCUAAUCACUACUGUAGGUGAUGGUAAGGAUUGUUUCGUAAUUCUUUUUGUGCUGUCAGGCUUACUGAGUAACCUUUACAGAAAAAUAUCAUCACAGUAAGUCCCCAGAUUCUUAAUGUGAGAAGUUCUGCUUGCUGGUAUAAAUUCCCACACCUCAAGCAUAUCUUCAGCUAUUAUAACUACAGAGGUUGGACAUAAUUCAAGCUACCGACUUGUGAGGAUGGUGGAAUCACCCUAGGAGGCUGCUAGAGAUUGCAAUAGUAAAAGUUCACUGCUAGGUCUGUUAUGAUACUCACAUUCACAAUGACACAAAUGAAGAAACUGGAAAGGAUUUUUUCAGUUCUUGGAAAUCAGCAUCAGUGGCAGAGGAUGAUGCUGUGGAUUUUACCUCUCCACCACUUUCCAAGGGAUCCAAGGGCAAACAAAGCAACUCUAACUUUGACAAACUGUAAGUGAUUACAAUCCGUAAGAGCAUGAUAUUUAUUUUAUUAAAUUAUUUUUAUCAUCUUAGAGAAAAUGAAUAUAGCUCCAGUAAAGUCUGUCUGUUCGUUGCAGUAUUGAUGCUUUACUUAAAAGCAUGAUUGCUCCUGUUUCUUUCAAGUUCAUUUUCCAGUUUUGGAUGGUUUAUCCAGAUAUAAUUACGCUAAAUCUUACUCUCUUUUGGACCUAUCUAUUUUGUAAUAGUGGGCUUCCUACAUGAUUACAAUACAUUACUCACCAUAUGAAUGAAUAUCCCGGAUUCAGUAAUUCAAUGGAGAAAACAAUUUCUUGUGGACUUUACUUGCUCAGAAGUGGACAUUAUUCAAGUGUUAGCUCAGAAAACAAUUUCUAGUGUUAGCUCAGAAAGAUCCAAAAGCAAGCACUACAAAGCCGUCAUUGCACAAGCCAAUUGUAGGUAUUGGUAUGAAGUUGAGUAUAAAGUCUAAAGGUACAGGUAUGUUUCCAAAUGGUUCUCUUUCAAGUUUAAAAAAGAAAAAGCCUCCUAAAUCUAAAGUUCCUAACAAGGUUUCCGCAGAUAAACUAGUGGAGUUUGGAUCUUCUUGGGGAUUAGAAUUUCCACCUUUGAAGACUAACCGUGAAGAGAUGUUUAGCGAUUUGGGAAAAAACCACGAUGAUUUAUUUGUAGAAGAUGUUGAUAGGUCUUAAAUGUCUUUAGUGGUCCUCAUUGCGGUUUGCAAGUUGCUCUUUGUUUGUUAGGUUUCACAAGUUGUGUCUUUUGUUGACACUCUUUGUUCUCUUAGAAAUUUCUUUGUAUUCUUAGAAAUCUCUGUCACUCUUUUGUGGGCUUUUGCGCUCUUGGUUGUUGUAUUCGCCAGCACACGGCUUGUGUGCAUUUUAAUCUAUUCUCUUUGAUCGAUCAAAAAAAAAAAAAAACUUGCUCAGAAGUGAUUUGUUCAGAGAUAUGGACUUUCUCUUGAUGGUGACUUUGGCAAUAUACCAUCAUCCUUCAAAAGGAGUUUGAAAGUGGAAAACUUGAAAACAAGCAAGACCUUGUGGACCAGAAGAGUUUCCUGAAGACUUGUGGACUCUGGUUAAUCAGCACGGAGGACAGAUCCCUUAUAUUUACUAGUUGUAUGUUUCGCAUAAAUAGCUUCAAUUAACACUGAGAAG
Long non-coding RNA from Papaver somniferum (opium poppy), 2380 nucleotides. RefSeq lists it as uncharacterized. Lineage: Eukaryota; Viridiplantae; Streptophyta; Magnoliopsida; Ranunculales; Papaveraceae. The transcript has 3 exons. The record is from RefSeq and is a predicted model, not a curated record.